Molecule: long non-coding RNA, 571 nt
Organism: Talpa occidentalis (Iberian mole)
Lineage: Eukaryota; Metazoa; Chordata; Mammalia; Eulipotyphla; Talpidae
Exons: 3
Source: RefSeq, a predicted model, not a curated record
UCCCUCCCUCCGCUCCCUCCCAGCCCACCCCACCAGCCCUUUCCAGUUGAGCACGCUGUUCCCAGAGCACCAGACACUGGACAGAAAAGGAGGAGAAAGACGAGGAAACAGCUAAAUCACAACAAGAUAAGUAAAUUGAGGUAUAGUGAAGCUAAACAACCAGCCUAAAGUCAUAUGGCUGUGGGACAAGCCAAGCUGGGAUCCAAUGCAGAUCAGCCUAACUCCAGAACCCAUCUUCAAAGCCACUAGCUGCCUUCUCCUUUGUUGGGACUACAUUUUUCCAUCUUCCUCAACGAUCUCUUGGCCCCACAUACCCUCCAGAUCAUUCCAUAGUGCCUGCCAGAAGUACGUCUGACAAGUCUGGCAGAAGGCAGAUAUCAAUACAAAAUGGAAAGUCACAAGAUGGGCCAAGAAGAUUGAAACCAGAGAAAGGAAAGUCAACAUAUUAGAUCAACAUAUUAGAUCAUAAUGAAGUCAUAAAGGCAAGGAAAAUAAAUAGAAAAAUCAAGUCAAAGUUUGAAGCUUCAAAAGGCAGCUCUCCUGGAAGCUUCUCCCAAAUAAGCACCUGCUG